Non-coding RNA from Camellia sinensis, 407 nucleotides. The record is from RefSeq and is a predicted model, not a curated record. NCBI's taxonomy places the organism in Eukaryota, Viridiplantae, Streptophyta, Magnoliopsida, Ericales, Theaceae.
AGAGAAUGGAGAUAAUUGGAGUGUGGGCAGCAGCAACUUGUUUCCCUGGGCCGGGCUUUACUAAAAUAGGCAGGAAUUUUGGUUCUUGAUGAAGCCACUGCUUCAGUUGAUUCAGCUACAGAUAAUCUAAUCCAGAAGAUCAUCCGAACAGAGUUUAGGAACUACAUUGUGUGCACUAUUGCUCAUCGUAUCCCAACUGUUAUUGACAGUGAUCUAGUUCUGGUCCUCAGUGACGGUGGAUCCCCAAGAUAUUGUUAUGGAUAUGGCCAAAGUUCCUCUCGCUUACAUCUUUGCUGCCUUUAUUCCAGCUGUAAUGAUAGCAGGGCUUUACUUCUUUGACCACAGUGUUGCUUCACAGAAGGCGCAACAAAAGUUCAAUCUCAAGAAUCCUUCUGCUUACCGUUAUG